Molecule: transfer RNA, 64 nt
Filed under: Viannamyia furcata
Lineage: Eukaryota; Metazoa; Arthropoda; Insecta; Diptera; Psychodidae
Description: tRNA-Glu
Source: RNAcentral
AUUUAUAUAGUUUAAUUAAAACAUUAUAUUUUCAUUAUAAAAAUAAACACUAGUUUUAUAAAUU